CAGGGGGUAGUUUAUAAAAAUAUUAAUUUUGGAGAUUAAAGAUAGCAUUAAGCUUCCUCUGA
This 62-nucleotide transfer RNA is filed under the name Aspidiphorus orbiculatus. Its description in RNAcentral is "tRNA-Pro". Lineage: Eukaryota; Metazoa; Arthropoda; Insecta; Coleoptera; Sphindidae. The record is from RNAcentral.